AACAAGUGUCAGAGAAGUUAGAAUAAAAUACAAAAAGGAUUAAAAAUAAAAUAACAUAAAAAAAUGAAAUGGUAAAAAAUAAUGAAAUAAAUAGAAAGUGAGUUGUACAACGGUCGAACCCAUGACUUAGUGGGAAGCACCGGAUGCCACUACUACUAGGUUAUGAGUGAUUAGUCAUAAGUUAAUCGCACCCAUUAAUAUAUAGUUUGACUUUUAUUACAAAAAUGGAAAAAUGCAAAAAACACCAACAAAAAC
This 255-nucleotide long non-coding RNA is filed under the name Lathyrus oleraceus (garden pea). RNAcentral's name for it is "Pisum sativum (pea) long non-coding RNA (PSAT_LNC016239)". The record is from RNAcentral. Lineage: Eukaryota; Viridiplantae; Streptophyta; Magnoliopsida; Fabales; Fabaceae.